Molecule: ribosomal RNA, 250 nt
Filed under: uncultured bacterium
Lineage: Bacteria
Description: partial 16S ribosomal RNA
Rfam family: Bacterial small subunit ribosomal RNA
Source: RNAcentral
UACGUAGGGGGCUAGCGUUAUCCGGAAUUACUGGGCGUAAAGGUGCGUAGGUGGUUUCUUAAGUCAGAGGUGAAAGGCUACGGCUCAACCGUAGUAAGCCUUUGAAACUGGGAAACUUGAGUGCAGGAGAGGAGAGUGGAAUUCCUAGUGUAGCGGUGAAAUGCGUAGAUAUUAGGAGGAACACCAGUUGCGAAGGCGGCUCUCUGGACUGUAACUGACACUGAGGCACGAAAGCGUGGGAGCAAACAGG